AAGUCUGACGCAGCCACGCCGCGUGAGUGAAGAAGGCCUUCGGGUUGUAAAGCUCUGUCGGAAGGGACAAAAACACAGACGGUUAAUAGUCGUUUGUACUGAUGGUACCUUCGAAGGAAGCACCGGCUAACUUCGUGCCAGCACCGCGGUAAU
This 153-nucleotide ribosomal RNA is filed under the name uncultured bacterium. Its description in RNAcentral is "partial 16S ribosomal RNA". It matches the Rfam family "Bacterial small subunit ribosomal RNA", at positions 379 to 524 of the family's 1533-position model. The record is from RNAcentral.